Molecule: ribosomal RNA, 1381 nt
Filed under: uncultured bacterium
Lineage: Bacteria
Description: bacterial SSU rRNA
Rfam family: Bacterial small subunit ribosomal RNA
Source: RNAcentral
GACGAACGCUGGCGGCGUGCCUAAUACAUGCAAGUCGAACGCUUCUUUCCUCCCGAGUGCUUGCACUCAAUUGGAAAGAGGAGUGGCGGACGGGUGAGUAACACGUGGGUAACCUACCCAUCAGAGGGGGAUAACACUUGGAAACAGGUGCUAAUACCGCAUAACAGUUUAUGCCGCAUGGCAUAAGAGUGAAAGGCGCUUUCGGGUGUCGCUGAUGGAUGGACCCGCGGUGCAUUAGCUAGUUGGUGAGGUAACGGCUCACCAAGGCCACGAUGCAUAGCCGACCUGAGAGGGUGAUCGGCCACACUGGGACUGAGACACGGCCCAGACUCCCACGGGAGGCAGCAGUAGGGAAUCUUCGGCAAUGGACGAAAGUCUGACCGAGCAACGCCGCGUGAGUGAAGAAGGUUUUCGGAUCGUAAAACUCUGUUGUUAGAGAAGAACAAGGACGUUAGUAACUGAACGUCCCCUGACGGUAUCUAACCAGAAAGCCACGGCUAACUACGUGCCAGCAGCCGCGGUAAUACGUAGGUGGCAAGCGUUGUCCGGAUUUAUUGGGCGUAAAGCGAGCGCAGGCGGUUUCUUAAGUCUGAUGUGAAAGCCCCCGGCUCAACCGGGGAGGGUCAUUGGAAACUGGGAGACUUGAGUGCAGAAGAGGAGAGUGGAAUUCCAUGUGUAGCGGUGAAAUGCGUAGAUAUAUGGAGGAACACCAGUGGCGAAGGCGGCUCUCUGGUCUGUAACUGACGCUGAGGCUCGAAAGCGUGGGGAGCAAACAGGAUUAGAUACCCUGGUAGUCCACGCCGUAAACGAUGAGUGCUAAGUGUUGGAGGGUUUCCGCCCUUCAGUGCUGCAGCAAACGCAUUAAGCACUCCGCCUGGGGAGUACGACCGCAAGGUUGAAACUCAAAGGAAUUGACGGGGGCCCGCACAAGCGGUGGAGCAUGUGGUUUAAUUCGAAGCAACGCGAAGAACCUUACCAGGUCUUGACAUCCUUUGACCACUCUAGAGAUAGAGCUUUCCCUUCGGGGACAAAGUGACAGGUGGUGCAUGGUUGUCGUCAGCUCGUGUCGUGAGAUGUUGGGUUAAGUCCCGCAACGAGCGCAACCCUUAUUGUUAGUUGCCAUCAUUUAGUUGGGCACUCUAGCGAGACUGCCGGUGACAAACCGGAGGAAGGUGGGGAUGACGUCAAAUCAUCAUGCCCCUUAUGACCUGGGCUACACACGUGCUACAAUGGGAAGUACAACGAGUCGCUAGACCGCGAGGUCAUGCAAAUCUCUUAAAGCUUCUCUCAGUUCGGAUUGCAGGCUGCAACUCGCCUGCAUGAAGCCGGAAUCGCUAGUAAUCGCGGAUCAGCACGCCGCGGUGAAUACGUUCCCGGGCCU